This 36-nucleotide ribosomal RNA is filed under the name Phytopythium sp. HSR-2011. Its description in RNAcentral is "partial 18S ribosomal RNA". The record is from RNAcentral. Lineage: Eukaryota; Oomycota; Peronosporomycetes; Pythiales; Pythiaceae.
AGACAGUUUCGUAGGUGAACUGCGGAAGGAUCAUUA